RNAcentral lists this unclassified non-coding RNA (233 nucleotides) under Ramulispora sorghi. Its description in RNAcentral is "partial contains 5.8S ribosomal RNA, internal transcribed spacer 2, and large subunit ribosomal RNA". The record is from RNAcentral. Lineage: Eukaryota; Fungi; Ascomycota; Dothideomycetes; Mycosphaerellales; Mycosphaerellaceae.
CGCACAUUGCGCCCCUUGGUAUUCCGAAGGGCAUGCCUGUUCGAGCGUCAUUUCACCACUCAAGCCUGGCUUGGUAUUGGGCGUCGCGGUCCCCGCGUGCCUCAAAGUCCCCCGGCUGAGCUGUCCGACCCCCAGCGUUGUGAUUUCCAUUCGCUUUGGGGCCCGGGCGGCCGUGGCCGUUAAAUCUUUCAAAGGUUGACCUCGGAUCAGGUAGGGAUACCCGCUGAACUUAA